RNAcentral lists this ribosomal RNA (1473 nucleotides) under Rothia aeria. RNAcentral describes it as "SSU rRNA". It matches the Rfam family "Bacterial small subunit ribosomal RNA". The record is from RNAcentral. Lineage: Bacteria; Bacillati; Actinomycetota; Actinomycetes; Micrococcales; Micrococcaceae.
UUUGUAACGGAGAGUUUGAUCCUGGCUCAGGACGAACGCUGGCGGCGUGCUUAACACAUGCAAGUCGAACGAUGAAGCGGUGCUUGCACCGUGGAUUAGUGGCGAACGGGUGAGUAAUACGUGAGUGACCUACCUUUGACUCUGGGAUAAGCCUGGGAAACUGGGUCUAAUACCGGAUACGACCAAUCUCUGCAUGGGGUGUUGGUGGAAAGCGUUAUGGAGUGGUUUUAGAUGGGCUCACGGCCUAUCAGCUUGUUGGUGAGGUAAUGGCUUACCAAGGCGACGACGGGUAGCCGGCCUGAGAGGGUGACCGGCCACACUGGGACUGAGACACGGCCCAGACUCCUACGGGAGGCAGCAGUGGGGAAUAUUGCACAAUGGGCGCAAGCCUGAUGCAGCGACGCCGCGUGAGGGAUGACGGCCUUCGGGUUGUAAACCUCUGUUAGCAUCGAAGAAGCGAAAGUGACGGUAGGUGCAGAGAAAGCGCCGGCUAACUACGUGCCAGCAGCCGCGGUAAUACGUAGGGCGCGAGCGUUGUCCGGAAUUAUUGGGCGUAAAGAGCUUGUAGGCGGUUGGUCGCGUCUGCUGUGAAAGGCCGGGGCUUAACUCCGGUUUUGCAGUGGGUACGGGCUAACUAGAGUGCAGUAGGGGAGACUGGAAUUCCUGGUGUAGCGGUGGAAUGCACAGAUAUCAGGAGGAACACCGAUGGCGAAGGCAGGUCUCUGGGCUGUAACUGACGCUGAGAAGCGAAAGCAUGGGGAGCGAACAGGAUUAGAUACCCUGGUAGUCCAUGCCGUAAACGUUGGGCACUAGGUGUGGGGACAUUCCACGUUUUCCGCGCCGUAGCUAACGCAUUAAGUGCCCCGCCUGGGGAGUACGGCCGCAAGGCUAAAACUCAAAGGAAUUGACGGGGGCCCGCACAAGCGGCGGAGCAUGCGGAUUAAUUCGAUGCAACGCGAAGAACCUUACCAAGGCUUGACAUGCAUUAGAUCGCGUCAGAGAUGGCGUUUCCCUUCGGGGCUGGUGUACAGGUGGUGCAUGGUUGUCGUCAGCUCGUGUCGUGAGAUGUUGGGUUAAGUCCCGCAACGAGCGCAACCCUCGUUCUAUGUUGCCAGCGGUUCGGCCGGGGACUCAUAGGAGACUGCCGGGGUCAACUCGGAGGAAGGUGGGGAUGACGUCAAAUCAUCAUGCCCCUUAUGUCUUGGGCUUCACGCAUGCUACAAUGGCCGGUACAGAGGGUUGCGAUACUGUGAGGUGGAGCUAAUCCCUUAAAGCCGGUCUCAGUUCGGAUUGGGGUCUGCAACUCGACCCCAUGAAGUCGGAGUCGCUAGUAAUCGCAGAUCAGCAACGCUGCGGUGAAUACGUUCCCGGGCCUUGUACACACCGCCCGUCAAGUCACGAAAGUUGGUAACACCCGAAGCCGGUGGCCUAACCCUUGUGGGGGAGCCGUCGAAGGUGGGAUUGGCGAUUGGG